RNAcentral lists this unclassified non-coding RNA (6690 nucleotides) under Venturia canescens. RNAcentral's name for it is "uncharacterized LOC122407184, transcript variant X2". The record is from RNAcentral. Lineage: Eukaryota; Metazoa; Arthropoda; Insecta; Hymenoptera; Ichneumonidae.
UUAUCGCGAUAGGCGGCGACGUGAGCGCUUCACGAGCGCCACUUCACGAUGCGAGCGCCGCUUCGCGAACGGUGGAGCGUCACUUCAUCUCUCUUGGCGUGCUCUGUGCUCUUGGCAGUUUCAAGAUGGCCGCCGAUGUCAACAUUCGCGCGGGCUGUGUCAAGUGUUACGCAAAAUGUAUAUCGUUUCGUGUGUUCAUCGUGAAUUUUCUUCGGGAAUUUAUUCACAAGUGCCCAAUAAUCUGAAGAUCAAGGCUUCAAUUCCAGGGAUGAAUAUCUUUCGUGAAAUGCUGCCGAAGCCUCGAUCUUUUCGGUCACGCGAUCCUGAGAACACCGCAUCAAUUAGCGCGAAAACUUUUCAUCCGUCAAUGUUUCGUGCAGCACGAUUUUCCGACACUUUGGCAGCGGUGAUACGAGCUCCAUAAAAAGAAAUUAAAUGACAGUGAGAAGAAAAGAGAAGCGGAGAGUGAGGAAGAGAAGGGGAGAGAUAGAGAGACGAUAAUGGAUACGGAGGAAAAUCCGGAGAGAGGAAAUCCAUAAGAGACGAGUUCAGUGACGACGCGGAUGCUUCGGGGUGCUCCAUAGUCGCUAGACGAGCAAAGAUGGAAGUACGAACGGAACGUCCUCGAACAGCGGGGCGAAUAGCGCCUACGGGACGUGUUACGCCGACCGUUAACCAAAGUAUGCCCGGGGGUGGAAGGCGAAAGGCUAUACCGGUACCACCACCGAGGGUGCCAACCCCUAUGCCCACUGCGAACAACAAUCAGCAAAGGAACAAUGCCAAUAACGUUGCACCACCUCCAGCGAUGCCGAUACAAAGGAAAGAAUCGCAUGGAAAUAUCGCGAAAAUUGCGAAGCGAUAUCUCGAUGACAACAUGCAGCAGGCGUGGAUAAAUCCUCGACUCAUAUCGAUGAUAAAUAUGGAAGCCGUGACAUCGACGGAUUACGAUUCGACGAAUUUGAGUCGUAAUUUCAACCAGGUUGGCUUCAACACUUACAAUUAUUCUCAAUUCGAGGAAAAGUACAAGCCGCGCCAGUCGAUGAAGUACGGCGAAGAUUAUCAGGAUCACGGUAGAGCAGCUACGAGAAAUCCUGUUAACUCACGGACGUCGUCGCGCCAUACGCAAGAACAAAAUGUCCAUAAGAGCGAGCGUAGCCAUUCGCAGCCUGAGAGACAGCAUCAAUCUUCCUUCGAGGCACGAUCGAAAUCUCAAGAUUCAAGAGAAUUGACAUUCUAUCAGAUCGAUCCUCCCCUCAAGCAUGAAAAUAGACAUGCCAAGUCGCACCGUACUUCGGUCGACAAAGUUCACAAUAAAGCCAAAGAAUUGACGUUUUACGAUAUCGACGGCCCAGGAAAUUUCACUGACAAAUCAAAAGACCAGAAAAAUAAUAGCUGCAGCGAGAAACUCGAGAAAAAGGAUAAAUCCAGUGCUGCUGUUGGCUCGAAACAUGCCCACGGAAAAAAUUCACACCAAGAACAAAAGACUAACGUAAACAACGUUGGCCAAUCAAACAGAUUGCAGGCUGAUGUUCUUGAAAAUUCUCAUCGACAACAAUGCAAUGUUCUCGUCGACCCACCGAAGUACAGACAGUACGAUAGGCCGCCUCGAUAUCAAGAGGAUCCUCCGAAAAGUGAACCUCCACCGAAGUAUCAUCAAGAUCCCCCAAAAUAUUCUGAAGUAACCAACAAAAGACAGGACGAGUCUAAACGGAGUCAGGAGGAGAAGGGCAGACGACAAGCAGGGGGAAAUCAUGGGGGAGUGGUGAGCGGGGUCGUCGCCGUUGGUGGUGGUGGUGGUGGUGGAGCUCACGGUACGGAGGCGCUCGCUAAUGUCGCCAGUAUCACGCCGACCGCGCGAGAAUCAACACGUGGAGGGGUUACGACGCGCCAGCGUCAAAUGCACAAGCAAACAGGGUGCGAGGUUCGUUUGACAAGCAAGAAUGACGAUUACAACAACGACGAUGACGUCGAGACGUUGAAGCACAGCGAUAACACGAGCAGUGCUAAGGUGGCGAGCUCGAAUAAUCAGUCGAACAACGUUGCUAAUCGUGCUACCAAUUUCGGUACAAACGGUGUCGUUAACAGUUACGGUAGUGCGGGUAUUAUUCUGGGUGUUUCGCUGGGUGGUGUUAUAUGUCCCGAAGUCAACAAUACCCGUGGUGCCGAUGUCAAAUUUCCGAUUCUCCGUUCGAGCGACAGAUCGAUGAUUAAAUUCGAAAAAUCAAAGAAUUCCGUCCACUCGUUUCACGACGUGAUCUCGGUGGGCAACAAAUUCGCUGACAAAAUGAAAUCCGUGCAAGAAGCAAUCGUCUACAAGCACCACGAGGCUGUGCCUAAACUGAAGCACGAAUCGAGCGUCGUCAACAAUCACGUGGGCUACAAAGUCGAAAAUCUCAAGUACUACGGUGAACUGAAGGGUUACGAUUUCAAGUCUUACGGCACCAUCGAUAAACCCCAAUCGGCAAACCCGACCAGUGAAAAAUCCCAUCAGUACGCUACACCUGACAAAGUCGCUCAUCAAAAUAGCCAUGAAAAAUCACACGCGCGCAACUCCCAGUCGUACGGUGCCGGGAAAGUGUCUCAGGCCUCUGAUAAAAGUGUUUACAGUGAGAAAUACGGUGAUCAUUACUAUCACAGAUCGUCACACGUCAAACCGGCCAACGCGUUUCAGGUUUACCAGGAGACCAAAUACUCGUACAACGUUAAUGGAGUUCCCGGUACACCGGCCCAGGCCAGCGCAGCCGCAGCUUUCUUCGCGAGAGCUGCUCAAAAGUUAAAUCUCUCGUCGAGUCCUCACAGAAGACGUCGCUCCGGUGACGACAACAUUGCUCCGGACGAACAUCCUAUUUUCCCUAAUGGAUACGCGGCCCUCUUAUUAAAAUCCCCGCCCCCUGCACCACCUGCUCUGCUCAGAAGAAUCGGAGUCAAAGAACUCACCGGUGUUGGCAAGGUGAAAGUCAUGCUCAGGGUGUCAUCCGGUGAAGGCGGUAGUUUCUUCAAUGCGGACAAGCGCAAGAAGCAGGUGACCCUAGUUGACCCCUCUUCGGGUCAAACGUCGACAGCCGAAGAUCGAAGACCCACCGUUGCCGCACCCAAGAUGUUCGCCUUCGAUGCCAUUUUCACCGAGGAAGAUUCUCAGACUGAAAUCUGCUCGAGUGCCCUCACCGAUGUCAUCCACGCUGUGAUCAACGGAACCGAUGGAUGUCUAUUCUGUUUCGGUCAUGCGGGUCUUGGAAAAUCUCAUACGAUGCUUGGCACCCCGGAAGCUGGUCACACCCUCGGGGCAAUUCCCUGUGCGAUAGCUUGGCUAUUUCGUGGAAUUUCGGAGCAAAGACAACGAACCGGGGCCAGAUUCAGCGUGAGGGUCAGUUGUGUAGAACUGACUACUGGCCAGCAACAGUUGAGGGAUCUUCUCACAGCCCACGCAAAUGACUCGGAACAGUCACCUGCCGUUUAUCUGAGGGACGAUCCACUGUUCGGCACACUCCAGCUACAGCAGCACAGCGAACUGAGAGCUCCGACUGCUGAGCGUGCAGCGUUCUAUCUGGAUGCUGCAGUGGCCGGACGUCAACGCGAAGACGGUGAUGCCCACAUGCUGUACACCCUUCACGUUUAUCAGUACAGCGUAGCUGGCAAGGGUGGAGUUGCUGGCGGAAGGAGCAGGCUUCAUCUGAUGGAUCUUGGCAAUUCGGAUCGCGGUAAAGCCUCGGGUGGGAUCCCCUUAUCUGGCUUGGGCAAUAUUCUUCUUGCUAUAUUCAACGGCCAGAAACAUUUGCCUUACAAAGAGCACAAGUUGACACAAUUGCUGAAGGAAUGCCUCGGCUCGCUGACCUGCCACGCGGCUAUGAUCGCCCAUGUUUCGCCCAACACUCAACACUACACGGAGACUUUGACGACGGUGCAAUUAGCCUCGAGGAUACACAGGAUGCGACGACGGAAAAUAAAAUUCGUCGGUGGGGGAACUCAGGGCACCGGGAGCGGCGGAAGUUCCGGUGAAGAAGCUGCGGCGAGACAAACGAGCGAGUGCGAUCCAAGCUCGAGCGAUCUGUCGGCUGACACUGUGAUAUACGUUGGCCCUGGCGCCGAUGACGCCACCGACGGUGAGCAUCCACCGGUUUACCUGCCAAGCUUGAAUUCCGGUGAUCAACGUUGCGCCAUGGGACGGGUAUUGCGCGGCUCGGCGGCCGAACGGCCUAGCAAAAUACCCGAGGAACGAAGUCCAGCUCACAAAGCUGCGAAGGUCGUAAAAGCUCUGACGCAAACGGCAUCGAAGCAGACAUCACCGGCUCACAGUGCCACGCCGAAAGCAAGUCCAGCGAGGAAAGCUAGCGCCAGUGGGAAGACUUCGUCGAAUGCCAAAAUUUCGGACUCACCCACGAGCAAAAUACCCGUUGUUGCAGCGGCUGGCGGAUGCUCCGACGAGCAGUGGAUAGACGGUCCAAGAAUUUCGAAAUCCAAAGUAGCCGAGGCCAGGCACAUGCUCAAAGAGGCUCAUCACAAGAGGGAAACUUGGAUAGACGGUCCGAUGCAAGUGACCGGCCCACCUUUGCUUCACACUCAGCAACACUCCUCCGGUUACGGGUUCAUGGAUAACCACAAGAAAAUCAUGAUCAGAAAGUGGGUGGAGAAUCAAUCGUCGCAGAUUCAACGUGCGAAACACGCUGCCUCGAGAACGGAAUCGAAAACGAGCGGACAAUCGUCUGGAAUAUUCAAAGAAAUGACGAGCUUCAAAAGCUGCGACGAUAACGACGACGACACCUCGCUCUCGACCGUUGACAGCGACAGCUUCAAGGCCACCGACAUCGAGGAUAUCACUGAAAAAUUAGGUGCUAAAUUGAAUCUGUUGAAUGUCAAAUCCAACACCGAUUCUGGUCUCGAUCUCACCGCCAGCCCAGUCAUGGAAGACAGUUUAGACAAGAGCAGAAUCGACACCCAAUACGACGAGGACGACGACGAAGAAAUAAUCGUUCCGCCUCCACUGCCCCUCAUCGAACCCCUCAGCAAUGGCGUCAGUCGAGAAGUUUCCAUGGAAAGCCUUAAUCUAUCGCACAAGGACAUUAUACUACCGUCCAGACAUUCUGUCUCGUCCGAGGACGAAAUACUCGAAAUCGUCGAGGUCGAGGAUCUCGAACCCGUACCAAUGCAAGAUUCCUGCCUUCAAGUUACCGAGGAAGAUAUUGCACUUUGUAUGGGAGAGAAUCCGUUGCCGGAAAGUGAUCAAGAGGAGCAUCCUCUGAGGAUACUUAGCCAGGAAAAUCUCACCGUUGUUUCGACCUUCACUGACUCCAUGUCGGUGAUGUCGGACACGGAAAGAUACAGAUCGCACUAUCCGCCGUCCGUCGCUGCUGGUGUUCUGCCCCGGCCUUACUUCGACCACGAGGACUUCCUCGAGCAAGAGACCAGACACAAGUUCGACCAAUUGGCACGUCUUCACGAACUUUAUCAAAGCAAACUAGCCCUCGCAAACGUCUCUAAUUCGGCAACUUACCAGAGAGAGAACUCGUCUUCCGUUAGCGUUCGGGACACACCAUCUGCCACAGUCUUCCGUCCACCUUCUCGCUGUCAGUCGCUGUCGCUGUCAGAUGUUCUCUUUAACGACGCAGCGAGUAAUCACGGCAGUAUAUACAGCGAGCCAGCAUACAUAGCCGGCAAGAGCGACCAAGAGAAAAUAUGCGACAAUUGUCGUCAGAGUAUGUCACGUCCGGCAACAGCCUCGUACUGGUACCCAAGCAGCGUCGCUCAUCUCGCGAGUCCGCGACGAUAUUGCGGCAAACUCGGUGAAUGUAACAUCUCGAGUCUGAGACAUCCGGAUGGUGCAUCGAAUCCGAAUUUGAAGGAAGAAAUCGAGAGGAUACCUGGAAACGGUGCCUCGGGAUCGGAUCCUGAGGAGGAAUAUGUCGAAGCUAAAAAAUUGUUCACCACCGCCGAAAGGUCGGAAAGAACUGUCACCGGGAAAUCCGACAUCGAAGAAGAUGCGAAAAUUCCAGCGACCGUUCCCCUACAGCUGUCAAUUCCGUCCUCGGUCCCGUCCUCCGGACGUAUGCAGCGUAAAAUCCUUAGCCUCGGAUCAUCACUCGUUCUCAACAGGGAGGGAUCCGAUUCCGGGGCUGAUUCAACCCCUCGAGCUGCCAAAUUAUCGCCCGCUACACUUUCCCGACAUCGAGCCGAAAGCUCGGGCUACGAUAGCAUCCUCAGAGACAGUGAGACCAGCAGUAUAGCCAGCGAUUCGUCAAGACAUACCGGGGCUCUUCAGGAACAUCAAGGUGGUGCUCUGGGCGUUCUAACAUCGACGUUGUGCGGGUGUUUCAGCGGUGGUACGGCCGGUGGAAGGGUCAGGCCACCGGUUGCCACAGGCUCAUCCAAUUCCCGCGGGGAUUCUCGAAUACACAGACGAGGACGUGGAAAUACUGGAACGACGCGCACAACUACGCUCGGAUCCCCGUGGCACGAUGUCCAGGAUACACAACCUGCGGCUGCGCCAGCUCCUUCUUAGACUCGAACUCCGAGAAGCCAAGAAAAGACUCAUGGUCCCCGACGACCGCUGGAGCUACGAACUGCACGUUGAGGACAGCAUGGACUGGCGAGAUCCUUCGUUUCUCGAGGCGCUGGAAUCCGAAACGUUUAUACUGCAAAAAAGAGUCGAAGCAUGCAAAAGUCACGUACUAUUAGUGACAUGUUUCGAUUCUUGUC